UUCCCUUAUCUGAUUUUGCUGCCCCAAAAGUCAUCACACUUUUCUUAUUUUCUUGGCUGCAUCAGAUCAGAAGUCCAGCCCCUCUCUCUCUACUCCUUUUCCUCUUUCUUUGUUCUUCUUUCUCUCUUCUUCUGUUGCUUCUACACGGCAGCCCUCCCUUUCUCACCUACACAAUAUAUUCCUCUCUAAAGAAGAAAUUAAAGGGUUAACACUAAAAUUUCAGCUUCCAAGUUUGUGGGUGUUACCAGUUUCCCAAGUCUAAGCUCCUUCGACUUUAGGCUCUCGGUUCCUCUGCUUUCAGGUAAGGGAUAAGUUAUAUGAGCAUUUGUUAACAGGUUUUAUUUUGGAGCAGAGGGAGCCUUAGUCGAGUUUUGGAAGGAGCUGGUUUAGUUUUUUAUGUAUAGAUCCUAAGUUAGCAAUAUGAUGUUUAGAUUUGUAGCAUUGUUUAUUUUAGGAUCUAAUGAAAGUGUAUACCUUAAAGUAUUAAGAGAUGUAUCAUGUGAAAUUCCGAAUUUGAACAAUUGGUGAAUUAUGUUAUUCUUUGGAGUACAAUGUAGAUGCUCUGAAUGUCAAGUGAAAGGUUAUACCUUUUAAGUAAAGAAACAAGGAUUGCAAAUAAUGAGGGAAGCUUUUGUAAAAGUUUUCAAAAAGUUAAGUUGGUUCUUGUUAAUAUCAGGUUUAGACUUGAUAUUAGCAUGCCGGUCAUGGUCACAAAUCCGGGUACCGGGUUUGGGGCGUGACAGUUGCUCCUUAGAGUGGUGCUUAGGGAUGGCAAUUUCUGCUCGACCCACGGGUACCCGGUCCGAUCCAAUCUUAAUGGGUUGGGUUUUACUUGGUCCAAUAAGGAAUAAGAUCGGGUAU
Quercus lobata is the source of this 861-nucleotide long non-coding RNA. RefSeq lists it as uncharacterized. The transcript has 3 exons. The record is from RefSeq and is a predicted model, not a curated record. Lineage: Eukaryota; Viridiplantae; Streptophyta; Magnoliopsida; Fagales; Fagaceae.